RNAcentral lists this ribosomal RNA (1439 nucleotides) under uncultured bacterium. RNAcentral's name for it is "bacterial SSU rRNA". It matches the Rfam family "Bacterial small subunit ribosomal RNA". The record is from RNAcentral.
AGAGUUUGAUCUUGGCUCAGAGUGAACGCUGGCGGCGUGCCUCUCACAUGCAAGUCGUACGGGCUUCGGGUGGCAACACCCGAAGUCAGUGGCGAACGGGUCUGUCUCGCGUGGGUCUCCUCCCCCCGAGUCUGGGAUCUCCUCGCGAAAGCGGGGCUCUUACCGCAUCUUACCCUGGCGCACAAGCGUUCAGGGUCAAAGCCGCAAGGCGCUUGGGGAUGGGCCCGCGUCCUAUCAGCUCUUUGGUCUGGUCUUGGCCUACCAAGGCGAUCUCGGGUCUCCGGCCUCUCUGGGUGUCCGGCCACACUGGGACUCUCUCACGGCCCAGACUCCUACGGGAGGCAGCAGUCUGGAAUCUUGCGCAAUGGGCGAAAGCCUCUCGCAGCGACGCCGCGUGGGGGAUCUCUGCCUUCGGGUUGUCUACCCCUGUCAGAGGGGACGAAGCCCCGCAAGGGGUUCUCGGUACCCUCAGAGGAAGCCCCGGCUCUCUACGUGCCAGCAGCCGCGGUCUUGCGUCUGGGGCAAGCGUUACUCGGAAUUACUGGGCGUCUCUGGUGUGUCUGCGGCCGGAUCUGUCGAAGAUCUCUUCCCAUGGCUCAACCAUGGAAUUGUCUUCGAUACUGUCCGGCUUCUGGGUCUUGGAGGAGAGCGGAAUUCCCGGUGGAGCGGUCUCUUGCGUCUAUAUCGGGAGGAACACCGGAGGCGAAGGCGGCUCUCUAUGCUACUCCUCUCGCUCUGGCACGGAAGCUCUGGGAGCAAACGGGAUUCUAUACCCCGGUCUUCCUCUCCUUCUACGAUGGGCACUCUAUAUUCCCGCAGUUUUGCGGGAGUGUCGAAGCUCUCGCGUUCUGUGCCCCGCCUGGGGAGUACGGCCGCAAGGCUCUCUCUCAAAGGAAUUCUCGGGGGCCCGCACAAGCGGUGGAGCAUGUGGUUUCUUUCGAUGCUACGCGAAGAACCUUACCUGGGCUUCUACUGCUGGUGGUCUGAGCCCGAAAGGGUCUCGACCCUGGUUCUCCAGGGAGCCAGCAGAGGUGCUGCAUGGCUGUCGUCAGCUCGUGUCGUCUCUUGUUGGGUUCUGUCCCGCAACGAGCGCAACCCCUGCCCUUCUUUGCCAGCGGGUCUUGCCGGGCACUCUCUGGGGACUGCCUGGGAUCUCCAGGAGGAAGGCGGGGAUCUCGUCAAGUCAGCAUGGCCUUUAUGUCCAGGGCUACACACGUGCUACAAUGGGCGGUACAAAGGGAUGCAAAGCCGCGAGGCCGAGCUCUUCCCCAAAGCCGCUCUCAGUUCGGAUCGCAGGCUGCAACUCGCCUGCGUCUCUGCGGAAUCGCUCUUCUUCGCGGAUCAGCCACGCCGCGGUCUAUACGUUCUCGGGCCUUGUACACACCGCCCGUCACAUCACGAAAGUCGGUCGUACCCGAAGUCGCUCUGCCAACCCGCAA